RNAcentral lists this long non-coding RNA (582 nucleotides) under Chinchilla lanigera (long-tailed chinchilla). RNAcentral's name for it is "lncRNA (ENSCLAG00000027292.1)". Lineage: Eukaryota; Metazoa; Chordata; Mammalia; Rodentia; Chinchillidae. The record is from RNAcentral.
UGCAAAUGAUAAGAUUUCACGCUUUCUGGGGGUUGAUUAGUAUUCUAUGAUGUGUACAUAUCAUGAUAUACAAAAUCUAUAGUCCGUGAAAACAUAUUCCAUCAAGUGUAUAUACUACGUAUUAUUUUGGAACCAAGAAUACUUAAAUUGUCUUCCUUCAAUUCCAGAGGGUCACUUGAGCGAAAUUUCUCUUCUUCCAGUGGAGGUGGCAGUCAGUGAUCUGAUUGGUCAUUUGGAAGGUGAAAAUUGACCCGCCCUUUUUCCUCCGCCCACGGGAAGUGCCCGCUGUAUGCCAGUCUUCCGGUCUGUAAAACUGACACAUACCAACUUUUCCCCGGCGCCAUUUUCUUUCCGCUGCUGCUUGUGACGACGUUGGCAAGUCUGUUGGAGGGCUUCAGUUUCUGGAACUGAAUCUUGAUCUUUCUGAGAAGAGCACCUGGGCUUCAUUGGCUCCACCAGGUAAGGAAAAAAUGUGGGAAUGGCUCAUACUGCCUAAGUUAGCAUUUCAUUAAUGAUUAAUUUCAAUUUUAGAUACCAUUUGAGCAUCAAUCUUCUUUUCUUAAUAGAGGAAAAAAAAACCCU